AUCUAAUUUCAGAAGCAUGGUAGCUUGGAUGUUAAUGAAUGUACAAAUAAUUGGCAGCUGUUUGAUGCAUGGAAAUAUGCACUUCCUUGAAAAUGGAUUGUUGUCGUCUGCUAUUAUGUUUACCAAGGCUAAUCUUUUUUAUUGAAAUUUUAAGUGUUCAUUUUUUUGCACACGUGCAUGCAUGUGCACGAAACAAUCAUUGAAUGAGAGCAG
This 213-nucleotide unclassified non-coding RNA is filed under the name Hevea brasiliensis (rubber tree). Lineage: Eukaryota; Viridiplantae; Streptophyta; Magnoliopsida; Malpighiales; Euphorbiaceae. The record is from RNAcentral.